This 495-nucleotide ribosomal RNA is filed under the name uncultured bacterium. RNAcentral's name for it is "partial 16S ribosomal RNA". It matches the Rfam family "Bacterial small subunit ribosomal RNA", at positions 28 to 507 of the family's 1533-position model. The record is from RNAcentral.
GACGAACGCUGGCGGCGUGCCUAAUACAUGCAAGUAGAACGCUGAAGGAGGAGCUUGCUUCUCCGGAUGAGUUGCGAACGGGUGAGUAACGCGUAGGUAACCUGCCUGGUAGCGGGGGAUAACUAUUGGAAACGAUAGCUAAUACCGCAUAACAGUAGAUGUUGCAUGACAUUUGCUUAAAAGGUGCAAUUGCAUCACUACCAGAUGGACCCGCGUUGUAUUAGCUAGUUGGUGAGGUAACGGCUCACCAAGGCGACGAUACAUAGCCGACCUGAGAGGGUGAUCGGCCACACUGGGACUGAGACACGGCCCAGACUCCUACGGGAGGCAGCAGUAGGGAAUCUUCGGCAAUGGACGGAAGUCUGACCGAGCAACGCCGCGUGAGUGAAGAAGGUUUUCGGAUCGUAAAGCUCUGUUGUAAGAGAAGAACGAGUGUGAGAGUGGAAAGUUCACACUGUGACGGUAGCUUACCAGAAAGGGACGGCUAACUACGUG